This 253-nucleotide ribosomal RNA is filed under the name uncultured bacterium. RNAcentral's name for it is "partial 16S ribosomal RNA". It matches the Rfam family "Bacterial small subunit ribosomal RNA", at positions 524 to 776 of the family's 1533-position model. The record is from RNAcentral.
UACGUAGGGUGCGAGCGUUGCCCGGAUUUACUGGGCGUAAAGGGCUCGUAGGCGGCCAACUAAGUCAGACGUGAAAUCCCUAGGCUCAACCUAGGAACUGCGUCUGAUACUGGAUGGCUUGAAUCCGGGAGAGGGAUGCAGAAUUCCAGGUGUAGCGGUGAAAUGCGUAGAUAUCUGGAGGAAUACCGGUGGCGAAGGCGGCAUCCUGGACCGGCAUUGACGCUGAGGUGCGAAAGCGUGGGGAGCAAACAGG